This 587-nucleotide ribosomal RNA is filed under the name uncultured bacterium. Its description in RNAcentral is "partial 16S ribosomal RNA". It matches the Rfam family "Bacterial small subunit ribosomal RNA", at positions 355 to 1375 of the family's 1533-position model. The record is from RNAcentral.
UGGGGAAUAUUGCACAAUGGGCGCAAGCCUGAUGCAGCCAUGCCGCGUGUGUGAAGAAGGCCUUCGGGUUGUAAAGCACUUUCAGCGAGGAGGAAGGUGGUGAACUUAAUACGUUCAUCAAUUGACGUUACUCGCAGAAGAAGCACCGGCUAACUCCGUGCCAGCAGCCGCGGUAAUACGGAGGGUGCAAGCGUUAAUCGGAAUUACUGGGCGUAAAGCGCACGCAGGCGGUUUGUUAAGUCAGAUGUGAAAUCCCCGGGCUCAACCUGGGAACUGCAUUUGAAACUGGCAAGCUAGAGUCUCGUAGAGGGGGGUAGAAUUCCAGGUGUAGCGGUGAAAUGCGUAGAGAUCUGGAGGAAUACCGGUGGCGAAGGCGGCCCCCUGGACGAAGACUGGCGCUCAGGUGCGAAAGCGUGGGGAGCAAAACAGGAUUAGAUACCCUGGUAGUCCACGCUGUAAACGAUGUCGAUUUGGAGGUUGUGCCCUUGAGGCGUGGCUUCCGGAGCUAACGCGUUAAAUCGACCGCCUGGGGAGUACGGCCGCAAGGUUAAAACUCAAAGGAAUUGACGGGGUCAUAGCUGUUUCCU